Molecule: ribosomal RNA, 301 nt
Filed under: uncultured bacterium
Lineage: Bacteria
Description: partial 16S ribosomal RNA
Rfam family: Bacterial small subunit ribosomal RNA
Source: RNAcentral
CAGUAGCCGCGGUAAUACGUAGGUGGCAAGCGUUGUCCGGAAUUAUUGGGCGUAAAGGGCUCGCAGGCGGUUUCUUAAGUCUGAUGUGAAAGCCCCCGGCUCAACCGGGGAGGGUCAUUGGAAACUGGGAAACUUGAGUGCGGAAGAGGAGAGUGGAACUCCACGUGUAGCGGUGAAAUGCGUAGAGAUGUGGAGGAACACCAGUGGCGAAGGCGACUCUCUGGUCUGUAACUGACGCUGAGGAGCGAAAGCGUGGGGAGCGAACAGGAUUAGAUACCCGCGUAGUCCCUGUCUCUUAUAC